This 537-nucleotide ribosomal RNA is filed under the name uncultured bacterium. RNAcentral's name for it is "bacterial SSU rRNA". It matches the Rfam family "Bacterial small subunit ribosomal RNA", at positions 102 to 674 of the family's 1533-position model. The record is from RNAcentral.
ACGGGUGAGUAACGCGUGGGAACAUACCCUUUUCUACGGAAUAGCUCUGGGAAACUGGAAUUAAUACCGUAUACGCCCUACGGGGGAAAGAUUUAUCGGGGAAGGAUUGGCCCGCGUUGGAUUAGCUAGUUGGUGGGGUAAAGGCCUACCAAGGCGACGAUCCAUAGCUGGUCUGAGAGGAUGAUCAGCCACAUUGGGACUGAGACACGGCCCAAACUCCUACGGGAGGCAGCAGUGGGGAAUAUUGGACAAUGGGCGCAAGCCUGAUCCAGCCAUGCCGCGUGAGUGAUGAAGGCCUUAGGGUUGUAAAGCUCUUUCACCGAUGAAGAUAAUGACGGUAGUCGGAGAAGAAGCCCCGGCUAACUUCGUGCCAGCAGCCGCGGUAAUACGAAGGGGGCUAGCGUUGUUCGGAAUUACUGGGCGUAAAGCGCACGUAGGCGGAUAUUUAAGUCAGGGGUGAAAUCCCAGAGCUCAACUCUGGAACUGCCUUUGAUACUGGGUAUCUUGAGUAUGGAAGAGGUAAGUGGAAUUGCGAGU